UCCUGGUUCGCUCAUUUGGUAGAGCACUCCACGGAAAAUGGAGAGGUCCCUGGUUCGAUACCAGGACCAGGCG
This 73-nucleotide transfer RNA is filed under the name Ixodes scapularis (black-legged tick). RNAcentral's name for it is "tRNA-Phe". Lineage: Eukaryota; Metazoa; Arthropoda; Arachnida; Ixodida; Ixodidae. The record is from RNAcentral.